RNAcentral lists this transfer RNA (72 nucleotides) under Vibrio parahaemolyticus. RNAcentral's name for it is "tRNA-Asp". It matches the Rfam family "tRNA". From Rfam's summary of the family: Transfer RNA (tRNA) molecules are approximately 80 nucleotides in length. Their secondary structure includes four short double-helical elements and three loops (D, anti-codon, and T loops). The record is from RNAcentral. Lineage: Bacteria; Pseudomonadati; Pseudomonadota; Gammaproteobacteria; Vibrionales; Vibrionaceae.
GGAGCGGUAGUUCAGUUGGUUAGAAUACCGGCCUGUCACGCCGGGGGUCGCGGGUUCGAGUCCCGUCCGCCC